CACAUCGCGCCCACAUGACGGAGCGGCGCUGUUUUCUCGGCCGCGCCCCGACAUCGCCGCGUCGUGCAGCGCGAGAAAAACGCGCUUCCCCGCCCCGAGCACAGCGCUCUGCCAGGACGUUCGCCCCGCGCUACCGCUGGUGCGGACGAGCCCGGCCGCGGGGCCCUACCUGGCGUGGCAGCAGCCUCCAGGCAACCCCUCACAGCAACGCCCUCCUUCGCGCCUGCCCGCAGGGUCGAGGAGCGGCGCCGGAAGCGGAAGUAGCGGUUCCGGAAGCGCUACGGCGGAAGUGCUACGGCGGCCGCGUGGGGUCAGACGGAAGCGGUGCGGAACGGAGCGGUGCUGGCAUCAUGUCGGGCCGAGAGGGCGGCAAGAAGAAGCCGCUGAAGCAGCCGAAGAAGCAGACGAAGGACCUGGAUGAGACAGAUCUGGCAUUUAAACAAAAGCAGAAGGAGGAGCAAAAGAAACUUGAGGAGAUGAAAGCAAAGGCUGCUGGAAAAGGGCCCCUCACGAGCGGUGGGAUAAAGAAGUCUGGCAAAAAGUAGUUCCGAGCUGCAGGAUAAGACGCCUCCAACUUACGCGAUGGAUCCGCAGCCUUCAGAAGACGAAGAGAACUCGCAGCUCUUGGGAAGCACUGUACAUUUUGUUUAGUCAGAAUAAAACUUUUUUGUUAAGAGGUGAUAUUGUCUCU
Molecule: long non-coding RNA, 691 nt
Filed under: Chrysolophus pictus (golden pheasant)
Lineage: Eukaryota; Metazoa; Chordata; Aves; Galliformes; Phasianidae
Description: lncRNA (ENSCPIG00010006162.1)
Source: RNAcentral